Bactrocera oleae (olive fruit fly) is the source of this 3556-nucleotide long non-coding RNA. RefSeq lists it as uncharacterized. Lineage: Eukaryota; Metazoa; Arthropoda; Insecta; Diptera; Tephritidae. The record is from RefSeq and is a predicted model, not a curated record.
AUUUGUUUCGGUAGGCCACCUUAAUUUAUGUUUUUUUGGUUGCAAUUUCUGUAACGGCAAUGAAGUGCACUCAUUCUUCAUUCACACUUCACCGCGAAGACACAUAUGUAUGUACAUACAAACAUAUGCAUCGGUUGUUAGUUCAUAUUGUAAUGUAAUGUUUGACGUAGCGACGAGUCGGAAUGUCGAAGUCAACGCGAAAAUUGAAAGUUGAAAGUCAUAUGUUUGUCGUUGCUCGUAUAGGUGACCUGAAAAAUAACAGCAUUAUGUGAAAAAUGUGACGGAUCUUAGGAAAAAUAAAUUUAGAUAAGAUUAUAGGUAAACAUAUGUAACAGCUGAUGACUGAUUUUGAUCCAUAACCCAUCUUGAGAUGGAUAACAUUCAUUAUUGGAUAAUAUUCGACCGAAUAGACAAAGUUCGUGAAGAAAAUAUAGCGGCCGUAGCGAGAAUGUCCACGAAGACCGUGGAGAGUCGAUUCGGUACCGUUUGCAGAAACUCGGACUGAUGUAUGACACGACUUGGCGCAUUUUACGUUGAGAUCUUAAACUGAAAGAGUACGAAAUACAGCUUAUGCAAGAACAGAAGCCGUUCGACCUUCCCAAGCGACAUUGCUCCGCUCUAUGGGCUCCUGAAAAGUUCCAACAAAAUCCAACGUUUUCGAACCAAAUUUUGUUCAGCGAUGAGGCCCAUUUCUGGCUCAAUGGGUAUGUAAACAUACAAAAAACAACCUGAAGAGAUUCAAGGAAUUUUUGGGAUCCUUAACCUAUCAGGAUAGACUACGACAAGAACGUUAAGUUGCAGUUAUAAUGAAGAUCUUGGACUUCCUUUUGUAUCGAACUGUAUGUCACGAAAACGAUUUCUGGAUAUUAAGAGAAACCACUUAGUUGAUAAAAGCCUUGCAUCUACUUCCAAUGAUAAGAUGUUCAAAAUCAGGCCUUUGUAACAUGCUAAUGAGAAAGUUUUGUAAAAAAGGUAUAUUUCACAAUGACAUUUCAAUCGAUGAAUCUAUAAUAAAAUAUUAUGAUCACUAUCCCCCCAAACAGUUUAUCAGAGGAAAGCCAAUUAGAUUUGGUUACAAAAACAGAGUGGCAACCAGUUCAAAUGGUUACUGCUAUGACUUUGAUAUGUAAUAUAUUGUGGAAAAACUGUGGCGAGUCUCUGUUAUUAAAAUGCCUUCGGUACCUGAGGAACACACAAUUUAUUUUGACAAUUUUGUUUACAUAUUAUGAUUUACCGCGAGAUUUGAAAGAAAUUGGUUUUAAAACAACAUGAAAAAGUCAUCUAGCGCUGAAUAUGACUACCGUUUCGAUAACAGUAAUGAAUUACUGGUGAUAAGGUGGAAAGAUAAUAGUAUGUGCACAAUAGGAACCAAUUUCGAUACAAUUGAGCUUAGGGGUAAAUUAAAAUGUGAGUAUUCCACACUUAUUUUAAAACUACAAUAAGGGCAUGAGCGGUAUGGACGGUUCUAUCGCAUUGUAUCACGUUAGUAUUCGUGGUAAAAAAUGGUGGCGGGUUAUCUUCACAUAGUAUAUGCUUAAUAUGAGUAUAUCUAACGCAUGGCAUUCACAUUCUUUAGCGAACGAAAAUCGAUUUGGGCAAUUAGCUUUAAGAAGGCAUAUUGCACGAAACUACCUUAGGUCUCGCAACUGCGACAAAACCCGCCCAUCAGGUUCUAUCGCCAGUAUCUCAUCACUAUAAAAUGUAAAGGGUGCAUUUUUUAGACAGGUGUUUUCAAGAAUGACCAAACAUGUGGUUUUAUUAUACAGAUAAUGGUUUAAUGUUUUAAAAAUGAUUUCGGGCAAUUGACCGCGCCAGCUGGCUGGAAUCAAAAACCUUUCUCAAAAAGUAUUAAACUGUCCGUAAUGGGGAGUCGUAUUUCAAGUCGACGCGAUUAUAAAUAUAUCAGGAUAAUUAGACGAGUUCAAAAAUAGUACACACAACUUUUAAAUCCCGCCUUAUCUGUUCAUACCGUGAAAAACAUAAUAUGCCUUAUAUUCACUGAUAUCCAAAUAUUUUGUGCCAAAAUGGAAAAUUUGUAACGCAUUUCAUGCUCAAUACGAUUUGUUUGCAAACUUUUAUGCCGCGCACACGCAAAUCCAACGCAUGCGACGAAGUCAGCAUAGAAAGGCGUAACCUUAUUUAAACUUGUACCAAGCGAAUCGAAACAACGCACAGCCGAGCGGUAAAUCAAGCGCGAGCGAACCAAAGAAUAGUGUUUUGUGAAAACUGUGUAUCAAACGGUACAAGCGGUAGUAGAAGAGAAUAAAUUCAUGUUGUGGCGGAAAAGAUUUUGACUGCCACAACAUGUGGCAUAGGUGGUGGCAUAAGCACACACUUGUGCUGACGUGGCACCCACUAGGCGGUCGCAGCCAUACGUUUCGGAUUUUCUGCGUGUGCGUGAAUGAGCACACGCGGACUCAGUGCAGGAUGUGCAACGUAAGUGCAACAAGCGAUGGUUGUGGUGCUAAACGUUCUUUGUCGCUUUUUGACGCGAAAAGGGACGCGAGCGUAUAAUUACGAUUAGUAACGCUAAUCGACGCCUCAAUUUGAGCGUGACACGCAUUUUGUAGCUCGUAAAAAUAUAAAUACACACAUAUGUAUACAGUGUGUACCUACACACACAGCACUGCAAAGCGGGCGAAGGCGAUAAGAAGGAUAUUACCUUGUAAUAUAUUGUAGGUAGCAAAUAACAACAAAAGUUGAAAAUAAUCAAUAUAACGCACACUGACCGCCGACACCGCCAUCUUCAGCGGCUGCCGUGGCGAAUGCGCCAACAGGUAAACAAAGCAACCCGGCUGAGGAAAUGCUAAUAAAAUUUUUACACAUACUAACAACUAUGCAUGUUUACAAAUGCAAUAAUGCUUUGACGGAAUAACCGUAAAAAUGUGCACAUAAAAAUGUUAUGGUGUGUUGAAAGCAGAGAAAAAAUAUUAUUUAGACACAAUAAUAUCUCAAACUGCAACUAAACAAAGUUGCCUUCAGCAUGUGCGUGUAAGCGUGUGUGUGUGCGGCAGACACAAUGUUGUCAAAGCAUAGCGGUUAUUAGAAGCUGUUGUGACAUUUUCCACAAACACAAACGCAUAAUUGGAAAUGGCUUACCGCGCAUGGCACAACCAAAUUGCUUCGCGCAGCUUCUUGCGCUUUGCUGAUUAGUCUUUCACCAAGUCAACUAGUCAAUAUAAAUGAUUCCCGCUGUUAACUGUUUACUGUACGCGUGAACGAUGACUUCAUUGCUGCGCAGCGGUGUGCUAUUCGGUAGCAUUGCUCAGUCGCUGCGGUAGCGCCGUGACCACGCAGCGUCCUAUGGCUACUGCCGCUAGUAAUUGAAAUGAUCGCUCACCAAAGUAUUGCAUACGAAUCAAUAGCAAUUCUUGGUAGUUGGGAAGUGGUAAGAAAUUUAAGCUAUAAAGCGGGUGUAUUUUUGUGGCAGCGGCACUUAAUUAUGGGUUUAAGCGCGAUAAAUGCGGGCGGUGCUGUCUUAACCCUUGUAUGCACUAUGUUUAAUAUUAAUUUAAAUGAAAUUAAAUUAUCUGAAUAAAAAUUAUAGUAAAACAAA